UAGGGAAUCUUCGGCAAUGGACGAAAGUCUGACCGAGCAACGCCGCGUGAGUGAAGAAGGUUUUCGGAUCGUAAAACUCUGUUGGUAGAGAAGAACGUUGGUGAGAGUGGAAAGCUCAUCAAGUGACGGUAACUACCCAGAAAGGGACGGCUAACUACGUGCCAGCAGCCGCGGUAAUACGUAGGUCCCGAGCGUUGUCCGGAUUUAUUGGGCGUAAAGCGAGCGCAGGUGGUUU
Molecule: ribosomal RNA, 235 nt
Filed under: uncultured bacterium
Lineage: Bacteria
Description: partial 16S ribosomal RNA
Rfam family: Bacterial small subunit ribosomal RNA
Source: RNAcentral